GGUAAAAUGGCCGAGGAGAGGCGGCGAAUUGUAGCUUCGUUCACGGGCGGUAGCCCUUUUAUCA
RNAcentral lists this transfer RNA (64 nucleotides) under Hemitheconyx taylori. RNAcentral's name for it is "tRNA-Tyr". Lineage: Eukaryota; Metazoa; Chordata; Lepidosauria; Squamata; Eublepharidae. The record is from RNAcentral.